Molecule: unclassified non-coding RNA, 337 nt
Filed under: soil metagenome
Description: partial contains 5.8S ribosomal RNA, internal transcribed spacer 2, and large subunit ribosomal RNA
Rfam family: 5.8S ribosomal RNA (bases 1-120)
Source: RNAcentral
GAUGAAGAACGUAGCGAAAUGCGAUAAGUAGUGUGAAUUGCAGAAUUCAGUGAAUCAUCGAAUCUUUGAACGCGCAUUGCGCCCCUUGGUAUUCCAUGGGGCAUGCCUGUUCGAGCGUCAUUUGUACCCUCAAGCUUUGCUUGGUGUUGGGUGUUUGUCCCGCGUUGCGCGUGGACUCGCCUUAAAGCGAUUGGCAGCCGGCAUAUUGGCCUUGGAGCGCAGCACAUUUUGCGCUUCUAGUCAUGAAUGUUGGCGUCCAUUAAGCCUAUACAUUUGCUCUUGACCUCGGAUCAGGUAGGGAUACCCGCUGAACUUAAGCAUAUCAAUAAGCGGAGGA